AGUGAACGCUGGCGGUAGGCCUAACACAUGCAAGUCGAACGGCAGCACAGUAAGAGCUUGCUCUUACGGGUGGCGAGUGGCGGACGGGUGAGGAAUACAUCGGAAUCUACUUUUUCGUGGGGGAUAACGUAGGGAAACUUACGCUAAUACCGCAUACGACCUACGGGUGAAAGCAGGGGAUCUUCGGACCUUGUGCGAUUGAAUGAGCCGAUGUCGGAUUAGCUAGUUGGCGGGGUAAAGGCCCACCAAGGCGACGAUCCGUAGCUGGUCUGAGAGGAUGAUCCGCCACACUGGAACUGAGACACGGUCCAGACUCCUACGGGAGGCAGCAGUGGGGAAUAUUGGACAAUGGGCGAAAGCCUGAUCCAGCCAUACCGCGUGGGUGAAGAAGGCCUUCGGGUUGUAAAGCCCUUUUGUUGGGAAAGAAAAGCAGCAGGUUAAUACCCCGCUGUUCUGACGGUACCCAAAGAAUAAGCACCGGCUAACUUCGUG
This 492-nucleotide ribosomal RNA is filed under the name uncultured bacterium. RNAcentral's name for it is "partial 16S ribosomal RNA". It matches the Rfam family "Bacterial small subunit ribosomal RNA", at positions 29 to 507 of the family's 1533-position model. The record is from RNAcentral.